This 57-nucleotide microRNA precursor is filed under the name Centruroides sculpturatus (bark scorpion). RNAcentral's name for it is "Csc-Mir-22-P2_pre stem-loop". The record is from RNAcentral. Lineage: Eukaryota; Metazoa; Arthropoda; Arachnida; Scorpiones; Buthidae.
AGUCCAUCAUCGGGUUGCUAGCUGUCAUAGGAGGCCAGCUGCCCAGUGAAGGGCUGU